This 273-nucleotide ribosomal RNA is filed under the name uncultured bacterium. RNAcentral's name for it is "partial 16S ribosomal RNA". It matches the Rfam family "Bacterial small subunit ribosomal RNA", at positions 85 to 354 of the family's 1533-position model. The record is from RNAcentral.
CCGCCGGCGACCGGCGCACGGGUGAGUAACGCGUAUGCAACCUGCCCGUUUCAGCGGGAUAACCCGGAGAAAUCCGGCCUAAUACCGCAUGUGGCCGAGGGGAGGCAUCUUCUUUCGGCCAAAGGGGGCGACUCCGGAGACGGAUGGGCAUGCGUGACAUUAGCUAGUUGGCGGGGUAACGGCCCACCAAGGCGACGAUGUCUAGGGGUUCUGAGAGGAAGGUCCCCCACACUGGUACUGAGACACGGACCAGACUCCUACGGAAGGCAGCAG